GACGAACGCUGGCGGCGUGCCUAAUACAUGCAAGUCGAGCGAAGUUUUUCUGGUGCUUGCACUAGAAAAACUUAGCGGCGAACGGGUGAGUAACACGUAAAGAACCUGCCUCAUAGACUGGGACAACUAUUGGAAACGAUAGCUAAUACCGGAUAACAGUAUUUCUCGCAUGAGAGAUAUUUAAAAGUUGGUUAUGCUAACACUAUGAGAUGGCUUUGCGGUGCAUUAGCUAGUUGGUGGGGUAAAGGCCCACCAAGGCGACGAUGCAUAGCCGACCUGAGAGGGUGAUCGGCCACACUGGGACUGAGCCACGGCCCAGACUCCUACGGGAGGCAGCAGUAGGGAAUCUUCCGCAAUGGGCGAAAGCCUGACGGAGCAACGCCGCGUGAGUGAAGAAGGAUUUCGGUUCGUAAAGCUCUGUUGUUAGGGAAGAAUGGAUAUGUAGUAACUAUACAUGUAAGAGACGGUACCUAACCAGAAAGCCACGGCUAACUACGUG
RNAcentral lists this ribosomal RNA (499 nucleotides) under uncultured bacterium. RNAcentral describes it as "partial 16S ribosomal RNA". It matches the Rfam family "Bacterial small subunit ribosomal RNA", at positions 28 to 507 of the family's 1533-position model. The record is from RNAcentral.